CAGUCGCCGCGGUAAUACGGAGGGUGCAAGCGUUAUCCGGAUUUAUUGGGUUUAAAGGGUCCGUAGGCGGACUUAUAAGUCAGUGGUGAAAGCCUGUCGCUUAACGAUAGAACUGCCAUUGAUACUGUAAGUCUUGAGUAUAUUUGAGGUAGCUGGAAUAAGUAGUGUAGCGGUGAAAUGCAUAGAUAUUACUUAGAACACCAAUUGCGAAGGCAGGUUACCAAGAUAUAACUGACGCUGAGGGACGAAAGCGUGGGUAGCGAACAGGAUUAGAGACCCCUGUAGUCCCUGUCUCUUAUAC
This 301-nucleotide ribosomal RNA is filed under the name uncultured bacterium. Its description in RNAcentral is "partial 16S ribosomal RNA". It matches the Rfam family "Bacterial small subunit ribosomal RNA", at positions 509 to 807 of the family's 1533-position model. The record is from RNAcentral.